UUAAAAUAAGGGAAAAUUAUAAACCCCAACAAAACACCAACAAAAGAGUAUAAAUACAGAAUCCCAAACAGGGAACAAUUAAAUCAGGAGUCCUCAAACUCCUGAACUACAACUCCCUAGAUAUUGGGAGGAGGAAAGCCUAUGGAAAAGGAGGGAAGUAGAUGGACAACAAAUAGAUUUGAACAUUUAAAUAGAUCUGCUAAAAAUGAGAAUUUUGGGGGAAACACUGACCAGAGGGAGAUACUAAAAUAUAGGUG
Molecule: non-coding RNA, 257 nt
Organism: Pelobates cultripes (western spadefoot toad)
Lineage: Eukaryota; Metazoa; Chordata; Amphibia; Anura; Pelobatidae
Source: the annotation of a GenBank genome assembly